Molecule: ribosomal RNA, 304 nt
Filed under: uncultured bacterium
Lineage: Bacteria
Description: partial 16S ribosomal RNA
Rfam family: Bacterial small subunit ribosomal RNA
Source: RNAcentral
CAGCAGUAGCCGCGGGAAUACGAAGGGGGCUAGCGUUGCUCGGAAUCACUGGGCGUAAAGGGUGCGUAGGCGGGUUUUUAAGUCAGGGGUGAAAUCCUGGAGCUCAACUCCAGAACUGCCCUUGAUACUGGGAAUCUUGAGUAUGGGAGAGGUGAGUGGAACUGCGAGUGUAGAGGUGAAAUUCGUAGAUAUUCGCAAGAACACCAGUGGCGAAGGCGGCUCACUGGCCCAUAACUGACGCUGAGGCACGAAAGCGUGGGGAGCAAACAGGAUUAGAUACCCCGGUAGUCCCUGUCUCUUAUAC